RNAcentral lists this ribosomal RNA (366 nucleotides) under uncultured bacterium. RNAcentral describes it as "bacterial SSU rRNA". It matches the Rfam family "Bacterial small subunit ribosomal RNA", at positions 30 to 396 of the family's 1533-position model. The record is from RNAcentral.
AUUGAACGCUGGCGGCAUGCUUUACACAUGCAAGUCGAACGGCAGCGCGGGGGCAACCCUGGCGGCGAGUGGCGAACGGGUGAGUAAUGCAUCGGAACGUAUCCUGUAAUGGGGGAUAACGUAGCGAAAGUUACGCUAAUACCGCAUACGCUCGAGAGAGGAAAGUGGGGGAUCGCAAGACCUCACGUUAUAGGAGCGGCCGAUGUCCGAUUAGCUAGUUGGUGGGGUAAAGGCCUACCAAGGCGACGAUCGGUAGCUGAUCUGAGAGGAUGAUCAGCCACACUGGGACUGAGACACGGCCCAGACUCCUACGGGAGGCAGCAGUGGGGAAUUUUGGACAAUGGGCGAAAGCCUGAUCCAGCCAUG